Molecule: ribosomal RNA, 254 nt
Filed under: uncultured bacterium
Lineage: Bacteria
Description: partial 16S ribosomal RNA
Rfam family: Bacterial small subunit ribosomal RNA
Source: RNAcentral
UACAGAGGUCCCGAGCGUUUGUUCGGAUUCAUUGGGCGUAAAGGGUGCGUAGGCGGUCGCGCAAGUCGGAUGUGAAAUCUUAGGGCUCAACCCUGAAACUGCAUUCGAUACUGCGUGGCUUGAGUACUGGAGAGGAGACUGGAAUUUACGGUGUAGCAGUGAAAUGCGUAGAUAUCGUAAGGAAGACCAGUGGCGAAGGCGAGUCUCUGGACAGUUACUGACGCUGAGGCACGAAGGCCAGGGGAGCAAACGGG